CCCCAGUAAACGGCGGCCGUAACUAUAACGGUCCUAAGGUAGCGAAAUUCCUUGUCGGGUAAGUUCCGACCCGCACGAAAGGCGUAACGAUUUGGGCACUGUCUCAACAACAGACUCGGUGAAAUUGUAAUUCCGGUGAAGAUGCCGGAUACCUGCGACAGGACGGAAAGACCCCAUGGAGCUUUACUGUAGCUUGACAUUGGGUCUUGGUACUACAUGUACAGGAUAGGUG
This 232-nucleotide ribosomal RNA is filed under the name Clostridioides difficile. RNAcentral's name for it is "partial 23S ribosomal RNA". It matches the Rfam family "Bacterial large subunit ribosomal RNA", at positions 1918 to 2149 of the family's 2925-position model. The record is from RNAcentral. Lineage: Bacteria; Bacillati; Bacillota; Clostridia; Peptostreptococcales; Peptostreptococcaceae.